UUGAAACCCUUGUCUGUUGAAUCCUGUGGACUUCCUAACCCUAUGGACUUCCUAUACACUCCCAGCUCCAAAACAACCAAAUGCCCAACCUCUGACAUUAUUACCCCCCUAGUCCUACUUCUAGUGUCAUUGGCCUUCAUUUUCCCUUUUGACAAAGUCCUUCCUCCACCCAUGCCUUCCUGUCAUCGAUGACUGCCUUGUCUCCUUGAGUAGAAAGGUACUUGAGCAGAGAAAGAAGGCAGAGGAAGAGGAAGCGAGAUGGAGUGAGAGGCAGAAGCAGAGAGAGAAGAAGCUUGCGAAGGUGGUUUCGAAGCGCGCCCAGGCCAACGACACCCACGUGCCCCUCUCUCAGACCAACCAGUCCAAGCUCAAGCAGUUCAGGUAUCCAUAGAAACCCAUAACAUUACAAUAAUACUUGUAGCAACCAAGAAACUCACCCUACCUGAGACCAGUACUAACACCCACUCCACAGCCCGCCCCACAUUUUCAUAUGGAAGUAGUGAAUGGAAUUGCAAACCUAAAGUGUUAAUUUAACACUAUUAAAAAGACUGAACCGAACAUUGCCUCAAUAGUCUCAAUUGUGACUCUUUUUCUAGUAUAUUGAAGAAUAUGGAUGGAUCUCUUCAUUGUUUUUAUAAGACAUUAAAAACAUACUUAUGUGUGGAUACCCUUUUGUUCCUUAUCCCAAUUUCAGUUUCAAGUAAUUGUUUCGGAAUGAUUUCCAUAUCAGUAACAGUAAGCUGCGGUUGUAAAAGUGAUGUUUUUGUUGAAUAGGUCAGGGUUGAGGGUUAUUUGAGGGUUGUGGGAUCACAGGGGUGAGAGGUUGUCUGUGUUUCAAACAGAAAGCAGGACUUUCAGCGCAGGAAGGAGUACAAGGAAGAGAUGAGGGAGAUCCAGGAGAGAGUGAAGGGGAGGCCUCUGCUGUUGGAGCAGGUCGCACAGAUGAAUGCCAAACAUGCUGCAGAGAAGCACUACACAGACACCCUGCGAGGCUGUGGAGUGAGCGAGGACUUUGUCAGUGGCAAGGUGCCCAAGUCCCAGCGGCCAGGUGGGCAAGACUCUGCAUGCAGGACCUCCUUCUCCAGUGACUCCAAACAAAGUGACAAGGAUGAGACAGAUACACCAGCUAUUUACAACACGGUCUUCCAGGAUGACUACCCAGACAAUUAUGAAGACAGCUUUGCUGACCAAGAACUGGAAGGAGAGCAGGAGGCUGAGAAAGAUGAAUUAAAGUCCAUGAAAGAGGAGGAUGAAGGCCAUGACGAAGUAGGGCGGGAGAGGGAGGACAUUGGGCGUUAUUCAGAUGAUUGUGAUUAUUCAGAUGACCAUUACUCAGAUGAUGAUGACCAUUACUCAGAUGCUAGUGAGCAUUACUUGCCCCUGGACGAUGAAAAGAAUGAAGGGAGUGACAUCAUCAAAAGGCCCAAGAGUACAGAGAGCAGCCCAAGCUAUAGAAGCGGCCAGUACAGCCGAAACAGUCAGAAGUCAGAGAGUGAUAGGGAAAACACCGCAAUAGCAGACAAGAAAAAUGAGGAGGAUGACUGAAAAGUCAAAGGAGUGCAUUUUCUCACACGUAGGCGGACUACAUUGUGCGCAAACGUCUACAACACUGACACACAGUGGUAGAGAUGCUUCUACUAUAAAAUAGGCUAAAUGUAUGGUAGGAUAUCUGUCUAUGUAUGUGUGUGUGUGUGUGUAUAUAUAUAUAUAUAUAUAUAUCUAUGUAUAUAUACAUAUAUAUAUGUAUGUAUGUGUG
Molecule: long non-coding RNA, 1756 nt
Organism: Oncorhynchus kisutch (coho salmon)
Lineage: Eukaryota; Metazoa; Chordata; Actinopteri; Salmoniformes; Salmonidae
Source: Ensembl